ACCGUGCAAAGGUAGCAUAAUCAUUAGUUUUUUAAUUGAAAGCUGGAAUGAAUGGUUGGACGAGAAAGUUACUGUCUCAAUUUAAUUUAAUUAGAAUUUUAUUUAUAAGUAAAAAAGCUUAUAUAAUUUUAAAAGACGAGAAGACCCUAUAGAGUUUUAUAAUUGUUUAGUUAUAUUAUUUUUAGAAUGGUUUGAUAUUGUAUUUAAAUAAUUAUUUUAUUGGGGCGAUAGAAAAAUUUAAUAAACUUUUUUUAUAUUGUUACAUUAAUAUAUGAAUAAAUGAUCCAAUGUUUUUGAUUAUAAGAUUAAAUUACCUUAGGGAUAACAGCGUAAUUUUUUUUUAGAGUUCUUAUCGAAAAAAGAGUUU
Molecule: ribosomal RNA, 367 nt
Filed under: Adoretus puberulus
Lineage: Eukaryota; Metazoa; Arthropoda; Insecta; Coleoptera; Scarabaeidae
Description: partial 16S ribosomal RNA
Source: RNAcentral